CCUACGGGAGGCUGCAGUGAGGAAUAUUGGUCAAUGGCCGAGAGUCUGAACCAGCCAAGUCGCGUGAAGGAUGACUGCCCUACGGGUUGUAAACUUCUUUUGUAUGGGAGUAAAACACGGUAUGCGUGCCCCCUUGUGUGUACCAUAUGAAUAAGCAUCGGCUAACUCCGUGCCAGCAGCCGCGGUAAUACGGAGGAUCCGAGCGUUAUCCGGAUUUAUUGGGUUUAAAGGGUGCGGAGGGGGAUGGUCAAGUCAGCUGUGAAAGUUCGGGGCUCAACCGUACAAUUGCAGUUGAACCUGGCAGUCUUGAGUGCGGGAGAGGUGUGCGGAAUGCGUGGUGUAGCGGUGAAAUGCAUAGAUAUCACGAAGAACUCCGAUUGCGAAGGCAGCAUACUGGACCGCAACUGACGCUGAUGCACGAAAGCGUGGGUAUCGAACAGGAUUAGAUACCCUUGUAGUC
RNAcentral lists this ribosomal RNA (460 nucleotides) under uncultured bacterium. Its description in RNAcentral is "partial 16S ribosomal RNA". It matches the Rfam family "Bacterial small subunit ribosomal RNA", at positions 338 to 795 of the family's 1533-position model. The record is from RNAcentral.